GUGUGCGUAAUUUAAAUAAAAAUAUCAAGCCGUGACCUUGAACACAGAGACACACUCUCGCAUACC
RNAcentral lists this transfer RNA (66 nucleotides) under Rhinophis blythii. RNAcentral's name for it is "tRNA-His". Lineage: Eukaryota; Metazoa; Chordata; Lepidosauria; Squamata; Uropeltidae. The record is from RNAcentral.